CUACGGGGGGCUGCAGUGAGGAAUAUUGCACAAUGGGGGGAACCCUGAUGCAGCAACGCCGCGUGGAGGAUGACGCAUUUCGGUGUGUAAACUCCUUUUAUAUGUCAAGAAAAUGACGGUAGCAUAUGAAUAAGCACCGGCUAACUCCGUGCCAGCAGCCGCGGUAAUACGGAGGGUGCAAGCGUUACUCGGAAUCACUGGGCGUAAAGGACGCGUAGGCGGGUUGGAAAGUCGGGUGUGAAAUCCUACAGCUUAACUGUUGAACGGCACUUGAAACUUCUAAGCUAGAGUAUGGGAGGGGGAGAUGGAAUUAGUGGUGUAGGGGUAAAAUCCGUAGAUAUCACUAGGAAUACCUAAAGCGAAGGCGAUCUCCUGGAACAUUACUGACGCUAAGGCGUGAAAGCGUGGGGAGCAAACAGGAUUAGAUACCCUAGUAGUC
This 439-nucleotide ribosomal RNA is filed under the name uncultured bacterium. RNAcentral's name for it is "partial 16S ribosomal RNA". It matches the Rfam family "Bacterial small subunit ribosomal RNA", at positions 339 to 795 of the family's 1533-position model. The record is from RNAcentral.